CCAAUAGCGUAUAUUAAAGUUGUUGCAGUUAAAAAGCUCGUAGUUGAAUUUCGGGAUCAAUUUGUCGGUCAUGCCGUUGGUAUGUACUGGUUUUAUUGAUUUCUCACCUUCUAAAGAACCACAAUGUCAUUAAUUUGGUGUUAUGGGGAAUUAGGACUGUUACCUUGAAAAAAUUAGAGUGUUUAAAGCAGGCUUACGCUUGAAUACAUUAGCAUGGAAUAAUGAAAUAGGACAUCCGAUUCUAUUUUGUUGGUUUCUAGGAUCGAUGUAAUGAUUAAUAGGGAUAGUUGGGGGCAUUAGUAUUCAAUUGUCAGAGGUGAAAUUCUUGGAUUUAUUGAAGACUAACUACUGCGAAAGCAUUUGCCAAGGAUGUUUUCAUUAAUCAAGAACGAAAGUUAGGGGAUCGAAGACGAUCAGAUACCGUCGUAGUCUUAACCAUAAACUAUGCCGACUAGGGAUCGGAUGAUGUUAAUUUUUUAAUGACUCAUUCGGCGCCUUACG
Molecule: ribosomal RNA, 501 nt
Filed under: uncultured Glomeromycotina
Lineage: Eukaryota; Fungi; Glomeromycota
Description: partial small subunit ribosomal RNA
Rfam family: Eukaryotic small subunit ribosomal RNA
Source: RNAcentral